AUUGAACGCUGGCGGCAUGCCUUACACAUGCAAGUCGAACGGCAGCACGGGAGCUUGCUCCUGGUGGCGAGUGGCGAACGGGUGAGUAAUAUAUCGGAACGUACCCUAGAGUGGGGGAUAACGCAGCGAAAGUUGCGCUAAUACCGCAUACGAUCUACGGAUGAAAGUGGGGGAUCGCAAGACCUCAUGCUCAUGGAGCGGCCGAUAUCUGAUUAGCUAGUUGGUGGGGUAAAGGCCUACCAAGGCAUCGAUCAGUAGCUGGUCUGAGAGGACGACCAGCCACACUGGAACUGAGACACGGUCCAGACUCCUACGGGAGGCAGCAGUGGGGAAUUUUGGACAAUGGGGGCGAACCCUACGAUCCAGCAAUGCCGCGUGAGUGAAGAAGGACCUUAGGG
This 398-nucleotide ribosomal RNA is filed under the name uncultured bacterium. RNAcentral's name for it is "bacterial SSU rRNA". It matches the Rfam family "Bacterial small subunit ribosomal RNA", at positions 30 to 422 of the family's 1533-position model. The record is from RNAcentral.